This 492-nucleotide ribosomal RNA is filed under the name uncultured bacterium. Its description in RNAcentral is "partial 16S ribosomal RNA". It matches the Rfam family "Bacterial small subunit ribosomal RNA", at positions 29 to 507 of the family's 1533-position model. The record is from RNAcentral.
AGUGAACGCUGGCGGUAGGCCUAACACAUGCAAGUCGAACGGCAACACAGUAAGAUCUUGCUCCUACGGGUGGCGAGUGGCGGACGGGUGAGGAAUACAUCGGAAUCUACUUUUUCGUGGGGGAUAACGUAGGGAAACUUACGCUAAUACCGCAUACGACCUACGGGUGAAAGCAGGGGAUCUUCGGACCUUGCGCGACUGAAUGAGCUGAUGUCGGAUUAGCUAGUUGGCGUGGUAAAGGCCCACCAAGGCGACGAUCCGUAGCUGGUCUGAGAGGAUGAUCAGCCACACUGGAACUGAGACACGGUCCAGACUCCUACGGGAGGCAGCAGUGGGGAAUAUUGGACAAUGGGCGCAAGCCUGAUCCAGCCAUGCCGCGUGGGUGAAGAAGGCCUUCGGAUUGUAAAGCCCUUUUGUUGGGAAAGAAAAGCAGCAGGUUAAUACCCCGCUGUUCUGACGGUACCCAAAGAAUAAGCAACGGCUAACUUCGUG